CCCUGCUCGUUCGUCCGCAAUCGGACCACUGCCCCCGGAUCAGUCCGCCUGCCUGUCUGCCGGCUCUCCGAGCUCUGCUCCCCCGACUCCAGGGGGUUACCAGACCGAGCACAAACUGUAGCGCCACGGGAUGCCGAGCCUCGUUUCCUCCCUCUUUAAUAAAGUCUUUAAACGUCA
Long non-coding RNA from Fundulus heteroclitus (mummichog), 177 nucleotides. RefSeq lists it as uncharacterized. The record is from RefSeq and is a predicted model, not a curated record. Lineage: Eukaryota; Metazoa; Chordata; Actinopteri; Cyprinodontiformes; Fundulidae. The transcript has 2 exons.